Molecule: ribosomal RNA, 431 nt
Filed under: uncultured bacterium
Lineage: Bacteria
Description: bacterial SSU rRNA
Rfam family: Bacterial small subunit ribosomal RNA
Source: RNAcentral
UGGAGGCAGCAGUGGGGAAUUUUCCGCAAUGGGCGAAAGCCUGACGGAGCAACGCCGCGUGAGGGAUGAAGGUCUUCGGAUCGUAAACCUUUGUCUUCAGGGACGAUAAUGACGGUACCUGAGGAGGAAGCCACGGCUAACUACGUGCCAGCAGCCGCGGUAAUACGUAGGUGGCAAGCGUUGUCCGGAAUUACUGGGCGUAAAGGGCGUGUAGGCGGUUUUUUAAGUCAGACGUGAAAUCUCCGGGCUUAACCCGGAAACUGCGUUUGAUACUGGAGAGCUUGAGGACCGGAGAGGGUAGUGGAAUUCCCAGUGUAGCGGUGAAAUGCGUAGAUAUUGGGAGGAACACCAGUGGCGAAGGCGACUACCUGGACGGCACCUGACGCUGAGGCGCGAAAGCUAGGGGAGCAAACGGGAUUAGAUACCCCGGU